Molecule: ribosomal RNA, 494 nt
Filed under: uncultured bacterium
Lineage: Bacteria
Description: partial 16S ribosomal RNA
Rfam family: Bacterial small subunit ribosomal RNA
Source: RNAcentral
GACGAACGCUGGCGGCGUGCUUAACACAUGCAAGUCGAACGGUGAAGCGCCUUCCUUUUUGGUGGGUGUGGAUGAGUGGCGAACGGGCGAGUAACACGUGAGUAACCUGCCCCCUUCUUCUGGAUAACCGCAUGAAAGUGUGGCUAAUACGGGAUAUUCUGGGUCUGUCGCAUGAUGGGUCUGGGAAAGAUAUUGUUUCGGUGGGGGAUGGGCUCGCGGCCUAUCAGCUUGUUGGUGGGGUGAUGGCCUACCAAGGCGGUGACGGGUAGCCGGCCUGAGAGGGUGGACGGUCACACUGGGACGGAGACACGGCCCAGACUCCUACGGGAGGCAGCAGUGGGGAAUAUGGCACAAUGGGCGCAAGCCUGAUGCAGCGACGCCGCGUGAGGGAUGGAGGCCUUCGGGUUGUGAACCUCUUUCGCCAGUGAAGCAGGCCUGCCUCGUUUGUGGGUGGGUUGACGGUAGCUGGAUAAGAAGCGCCGGCUAACUACGUG